AUGUUUUUAGUAUAUAAAGUACACUUACCUUCCAAGUAAGAAGAUAAUUAGUUAAAAACAUA
RNAcentral lists this transfer RNA (62 nucleotides) under Amynthas tappensis. Its description in RNAcentral is "tRNA-Gly". The record is from RNAcentral. Lineage: Eukaryota; Metazoa; Annelida; Clitellata; Crassiclitellata; Megascolecidae.